AAUAGAUACCCGGGUAGUCCACGCCGUAAACGGUGGGCACUAGGUGUGGGCAGCAUUCCACGUUGUCCGUGCCGUAGCUAACGCAUUAAGUGCCCCGCCUGGGGAGUACGGCCGCAAGGCUAAAACUCAAAGGAAUUGACGGGGGCCCGCACAAGCGGCGGAGCAUGUGGCUUAAUUCGACGCAACGCGAAGAACCUUACCAAGGCUUGACAUACACCGGAAACAUCCAGAGAUGGGUGCCCCCUUGUGGUCGGUGUACAGGUGGUGCAUGGCUGCCGUCAGCUCGUGUCGUGAGAUGUUGGGUUAAGUCCCGCAACGAGCGCAACCCUUGUCCCGUGUUGCCAGCAGGCCCUUGUGGUGCUGGGGACUCACGGGAGACCGCCGGGGUCAACUCGGAGGAAGGUGGGGACGACGUCAAGUCAUCAUGCCCCUUAUGUCUUGGGCUGCACACGUGCUACAAUGGCCGGUACAAAGAGCUGCGAUCCGUGAGGUGGAGCGAAUCUCAAAAAGCCGGUCUCAGUUCGGAUUGGGGUCUGCAACUCCG
Molecule: ribosomal RNA, 544 nt
Filed under: uncultured bacterium
Lineage: Bacteria
Description: bacterial SSU rRNA
Rfam family: Bacterial small subunit ribosomal RNA
Source: RNAcentral